UAGCCCCAGCACCAUAUAAGCGUUAAAUAUUCUCACUUGUACGACGCGGUUGUUUCCUUAUAAAAAAUACGAUGCUCUUUCAAUUUCUUUCAUCUCUGUGUUUUAAUUUCAUAAUUUUACUGUUUAUAAAAAUUGAUUAUAUUUCUUCUGCUUUUUCUCUUUUUUUCCUUUUGAUCCAAAUUGAACCAGCAAUUCUCCACUUUCUAAUGGCAAUUUUCAGUAAUUCACCGGAAGUCUUUUCGGCGUCCUUUCUUCUCCGGUUAUGGCACGGUGGCUGCCAGCUCUUGCUCAUCUGAACGUAAUAAUCAUAGAUUCACCUUCAACAGCCACCGGUUUUCCUGCGGUGUCGCUAUAGCUCCUCUGAUACUUCUCUGUACUCUUCUUCUCCACCUUCAACAGCCACCCUUUUUUGUAAUUCUUCAAUCCAGUUUCGUGUUGAUGUUUGGUUGAAAAUUAUUUAUUUCUAUUGUUAUGGUUAGAUUUUGGUUUUUUUUUGUUAUUUGUUUAUUUGAUAAUACAUAUGUCAAUUUGUGGUGGUUGUAUUCAAUUACAGGCGCUACUAAAUUAGCAGACAGUUGAAUAAUGCAUUUCGUUAUAUCAGUAAAAGUUAAUCCUUUUUAUCUCAAUCCUUUGUUUAAGCUUAUUGUGUUCCUAUUUGUUCUCUUGGUAUUGUUAGAGGUUGGAAAAAAAUUCAAUAUCAAACAGCUUCACAGAUGGCCAUUAAAGUAUUGAUUUUGGACCCACUUGAAAAUUACCCAGAAACUUGAAAAGGAAGGGGCUAUUUCCAACCUAAAGUAAUAACUGUUGGAAUUAAAGAAUCAAGCUCAUGUGACUUUUGGCAACCAACAAUAAUUUUUUUAUAGUGAUAGACUCUUAUAGCUAGUGUAUUUGAUACUUGUAAUAGAUUGAUCUAUGUUAGAUUAGUAAAAAUGUGGUGGUAGCAAAACUCAAAUGAAUUGUUUUGUAUAUUUAUUUAAAAUUUGACUAUGGAUAUGCUUAAUUUAUGUGUUUCUAA
Mercurialis annua (annual mercury) is the source of this 1015-nucleotide long non-coding RNA. RefSeq lists it as uncharacterized. Lineage: Eukaryota; Viridiplantae; Streptophyta; Magnoliopsida; Malpighiales; Euphorbiaceae. The record is from RefSeq and is a predicted model, not a curated record. The transcript is spliced from 2 exons.